This 497-nucleotide ribosomal RNA is filed under the name uncultured bacterium. RNAcentral's name for it is "partial 16S ribosomal RNA". It matches the Rfam family "Bacterial small subunit ribosomal RNA", at positions 28 to 507 of the family's 1533-position model. The record is from RNAcentral.
GAUGAACGCUGGCGGCGUGCCUAAUACAUGCAAGUCGAGCGAACAGACGAGGAUCUUGCUCCUCUGACGUUAGCGGCGGACGGGUGAGUAACACGUGGAUAACCUACCUAUAAGACUGGGAUAACUUCGGGAAACCGGAGCUAAUACCGGAUAAUAUAUUGAACCGCAUGGUUCUAUAGUGAAAGACGGUUUUGCUGUCACUUAUAGAUGGAUCCGCGCCGCAUUAGCUAGUUGGUAAGGUAACGGCUUACCAAGGCAACGAUGCGUAGCCGACCUGAGAGGGUGAUCGGCCACACUGGAGCUGAGACGCGGCACAGGCUCCUACGGGAGGCAGCAGUAGGGAAUCGAGCGCAAUGGGCGGAAGCCUGCCGGAGCAACGCCGCGUGAGUGAUGAAGGUCUUCGGAUCGUAAAACUCUGUUCUUAGGGAAGAACAAAUGUGUAAGUAACUAUGCACGUCUUGACGGUACCUAAUCAGAAAGCCACGGCUAACUACGUG